UAUUGGACAAUGGGCGAAAGCCUGAUCCAGCAAUACCGCGUGUGUGAAGAAGGCCUUAGGGUUGUAAAGCACUUUCAAUUGGGAGGAAAACCUACCGGUCAAUACCCGGUAGCUUGACAUUACCUUUAGAAGAAGCACCGGCUAACUCCGUGCCAGCAGCCGCGGUAAUACGGAGGGUGCGAGCGUUAAUCGGAAUUACCGGGCGUAAAGCGUGCGUAGGCGGUUCGUUAAGUCAGAUGUGAAAGCCCUGGGCUCAACCUGGGAACUGCAUUUGAAACUGGCGGACUAGAGUUUAGUAGAGGGGAGUGGAAUUUCAGGUGUAGCGGUGAAAUGCGUAGAUAUCUGAAGGAACACCAGUGGCGAAGGCGACUCCCUGGACUAGAACUGACGCUGAGGCACGAAA
Molecule: ribosomal RNA, 403 nt
Filed under: uncultured bacterium
Lineage: Bacteria
Description: bacterial SSU rRNA
Rfam family: Bacterial small subunit ribosomal RNA
Source: RNAcentral